This 253-nucleotide ribosomal RNA is filed under the name uncultured bacterium. RNAcentral describes it as "partial 16S ribosomal RNA". It matches the Rfam family "Bacterial small subunit ribosomal RNA", at positions 524 to 776 of the family's 1533-position model. The record is from RNAcentral.
UACAGGGGUCUCAAGCGUUGUUCGGAUUCAUUGGGCGUAAAGGGUGCGUAGGCGGCGUCGUAAGUCGGGUGUGAAAUUUCGGAGCUUAACUCCGAAACUGCAUUCGAUACUGCGGUGCUUGAGGACUGGAGAGGAGACUGGAAUUUACGGUGUAGCAGUGAAAUGCGUAGAUAUCGUAAGGAAGACCAGUGGCGAAGGCGGGUCUCUGGACAGUUCCUGACGCUGAGGCACGAAGGUCAGGGGAGCAAACGGG